ACACAGAGCCAAGAAAGAGAGAGAGAGAGAGAGAGAGGGGGAACGGGAACAAGACUUGUGGAUAGGUAACAACAAUUACGCUUCAAUGCAUCUAUAAGAUAUUGUAUCUGUACAGAAUGCAUGUGCUGCCUGUGGGCUGUAUCUCUCUCUCCCUCUCUCUCUCUCUCUCUCGCUCUGUGCCGCUUUUGUGU
RNAcentral lists this microRNA precursor (191 nucleotides) under Drosophila guanche. The record is from RNAcentral. Lineage: Eukaryota; Metazoa; Arthropoda; Insecta; Diptera; Drosophilidae.